AAAUAAGAAACAAUAAUUGUGAUUAGUUUCGACCUAAUAUUUUGAUGACAAGACUCAUCCUUAUUUU
This 67-nucleotide transfer RNA is filed under the name Elateroidea sp. 7 KM-2017. RNAcentral describes it as "tRNA-Arg". Lineage: Eukaryota; Metazoa; Arthropoda; Insecta; Coleoptera. The record is from RNAcentral.